GCUACUGUGGCGCAGCUGGUAGCGCAACUGAUUCGUAAUCAGUAGGUCAGCGGUUCGAAUCCGCUCAGUAGCU
Molecule: transfer RNA, 73 nt
Filed under: Clostridiales bacterium
Lineage: Bacteria; Bacillati; Bacillota; Clostridia; Eubacteriales
Description: tRNA-Thr
Rfam family: tRNA
About the family: Transfer RNA (tRNA) molecules are approximately 80 nucleotides in length. Their secondary structure includes four short double-helical elements and three loops (D, anti-codon, and T loops).
Source: RNAcentral